Molecule: ribosomal RNA, 330 nt
Filed under: uncultured Chloroflexota bacterium
Lineage: Bacteria; Bacillati; Chloroflexota
Description: bacterial SSU rRNA
Rfam family: Bacterial small subunit ribosomal RNA
Source: RNAcentral
GAUAAACGCUGGCGGCGUGCCUAAUACAUGCAAGUCGAACGAGGGAUCCUUGUAGCAAUACGGGGAUUUCCUAGUGGCGAAUGGGUGAGUAACGCGUUGGUGACCUGCCCCAAAGAGAGGAAUAACUCCGGGAAACUGGAGCUAAUACCUCAUGUGGUUGCGAGAUUUAGAAACUCGCAACUAAAGGAGAAAUCCACUUUGGGAGGGGCCUGCGUCCCAUCAGCUAGUUGGUAGGGUAAUGGCCUACCAAGGCUUCGACGGGUAGGGGGCCUGAGAGGGUGGCCCCCCACACUGGCACUGAAACACGGGCCAGACACCUACGGGUGGCAG